UAAAGACUUGGUUCUGAUCUGCCAUAACAGUGCUAGCGAAUAAUUACACAUGGUUUCUAUUGAUUGUGGUGAGGAGGCUACGAGAUAGACUGGAAAUUUUAUUUUCUUUAUAGCUCAAAGCUUUGGGUAUUAUGCGGACAUAACGCUCAAUAAGUCUCACUAACACCAGUGUUGAAUCUUAAUACAUGUAUGUCAGUGCGCAUUAGUUUAGCUAAGCAGGUCUGGUCAACUGGGUGCCAGCAGCCGCGGUUAUACCUAGAGACCAAGGUGUUAUUUUAGGUAAAAAAGAUAGUUAGACGUACUACAUUUUAUACAAGAGUAGCUACUGAGGUAAAAUUCUUAAGCUACUUUCAGUUCAGAUAAAAAUUUCUUCGUGUUGAUGCUAUGAAACUUAAGAGGGAAACUGGGAUUAGAUACCCCACUAUUCUUAAACGUAAACUGAUAGAACCUACCAGAGCACUAUGAACCAUUCGUUUAAAACUCAAAGAACUUGGCGGUGCCUUAGACCCCUCAGGGGAACCUGUUUCAUAAUCGACAGUCCACGUUAGACCUCACCUUACUUAGUCUUCAGUCUGUAUACCGUCGUCGUCAGGUAACUUUUAAGAAAUUAAAUGUUAGCAACAAGGUUAUUAUAAACCUUUACGUCAGAUCAAGGUGCAGCCUAUAGGAAGGAGAGAAUGGGUUACAAUUAAAAAUUAUAACUACGAAACACAUUAACUGCAAUUAGUGGUGUGAAGGAGGACUUGAAAGUAAAAAACCAAAAAUAAAAGUUUUUUGAAUUAUGGCUCUGGGGCGUGCACACAUCGCCCGUCGCUCUCGUUGAAAAAUGAGAUAAGUCGUAACAUAGUAGAAGUAACGGAAGUUGCUUCUAGCUGAGC
This 878-nucleotide non-coding RNA is filed under the name Cerithidea tonkiniana. The record is from RNAcentral. Lineage: Eukaryota; Metazoa; Mollusca; Gastropoda; Potamididae.